CCUACGGGAGGCAGCAGUGAGGAAUAUUGGUCAAUGGACGAGAGUCUGAACCAGCCAAGUAGCGUGAAGGAUGACUGCCCUAUGGGUUGUAAACUUCUUUUAUAAAGGAAUAAAACGAGGCACGUGUGCCCUUUUGCAUGUACUUUAUGAAUAAGGAUCGGCUAACUCCGUGCCAGCAGCCGCGGGAAUACGGAGGAUCGGAGCGUUAUCCGGAUUUAUUGGGUUUAAAGGGAGCGUAGAUGGGUUGUUAAGUCAGGUGUGAAAGUUUGGGGGUCAACCGUAAAAUUGCAAUUGAUACUGGCAGUCUUGAGUACAGUUGAGGUAGGCGGAAUUCGUGGUGUAGCGGUGAAAUGCUUAGAUAUCACGAAGAACCCCGAUUGCGAAGGCAGCUUACUAAACUGUGACUGACAUUGAUGCUCGAAAGUGUGGGUAUCAAACAGGAUUAGAUACCCGAGUAGUC
Molecule: ribosomal RNA, 460 nt
Filed under: uncultured bacterium
Lineage: Bacteria
Description: partial 16S ribosomal RNA
Rfam family: Bacterial small subunit ribosomal RNA
Source: RNAcentral